This 2184-nucleotide ribosomal RNA is filed under the name Triticum aestivum (bread wheat). RNAcentral describes it as "partial small subunit ribosomal RNA". The record is from RNAcentral. Lineage: Eukaryota; Viridiplantae; Streptophyta; Magnoliopsida; Poales; Poaceae.
AUGGGGGUCAAGAACCUUUGGGACAUUCUCGACUCCUGCAAGCAGAAGCUGCCGCUCAACCACCUCCAGAACAAGAAGGUGUGCGUAGAUCUCUCCUGCUGGCUCGUGCAGUUCUGUACCGCCAACCGCUCGCCGGCCUUCGUCAGGGACAAGGUUUACCUCAAGAACCUCUUCCACCGCAUCCGCGCCCUCCUCGCCCUCAACUGCAGCCUCAUCUUUGUCACAGAUGGGGCAAUACCUUCAAUCAAGCUGGCUACUUAUAGACGUCGGCUAGGAUGCAAUUCUGAGGCUGAUUGUGAUGACACGAGUUCGCAACCAUUGACCUCCCUUAAACGGAACAAGGGAUCAGAAUUCUCGCGCAUGAUUAAAGAGGCGAAGCAUCUUGGCUUGGCCUUAGGCAUCCCUUGCUUGGAUGGUGUCGAGGAAGCAGAAGCACAGUGUGCAUUGCUUGAUUUAAGCUCAUUGUGCGAUGGCUGUUUUACAUCAGAUUCAGAUGCUUUUCUUUUUGGGGCAAGGACAGUUUACAGAGAUGUUUUCAUAGGGGACGGUGGUUAUGUCAUUUGCUACGAAAUGGAGGACAUAGAGAAAAAGCUUGGUUUUGGCAGGAAAUCACUGAUAUCAUUUGCGUUGCUUCUUGGUUGUGAUUAUUCUAAUGGAGUUCAUGGCUUUGGCCCGGAAGCAGCAUGUCGUCUUGUCAAAUCUGCGGGAGAUGAUUCCAUCCUGGAUCAGAUUUUAUCUGAUGGAGUAAAAGCUACAAGAAAGUGUAAAGGGAAAAAGGCUGGCAUUGGCAAAAACAAGGGUGGUGACAUAUGCACAAAAACAAGUACCUCUGAGGUUGGGAUGAGCCAAGAUUCUGGCAGUCAAUUCCGUGAGGUAAUAAAUGCAUUUCUGGAGCCAAAAUGCCAUUUGCCUGAUUCAGAAAAUGUGCGGAGGGUAUGCUGCCAGCACCCAUUCCGUCAUUCAGAGUUCCAACAGAUUUGUGAGAAAUAUUUUGAAUGGACACCAGAGAAGACUGAUGAAUACAUCCUUCCGAAGAUAGCUGAGAGAGAACUUCGAAGGUUUUCAAAUCUUCGCUCGACAUCUUCAGCUCUAGGAAUAAAACCAUUGUUGAGUGAGAUUCCAGUACCAUGCCCUGUAUUGGCAAUUACGAAGCAACGAAAAGUUCAUGGAAGUGAGUAUUAUGAGGUUUCAUGGAGAAACAUGCAUGGACUCCAAUCUUCAGUUGUUCCAGGGGAUCUCAUCAGAAGUGCGUGCCCAGAAAAAAUAACUGAGUUUUUGGAAAAGAAGGAUGAAGAGAAGAAGCAAAAGAGGAAAGCUAGGCCAAAGAAAUCAGCACAAGCUGCAGUAAAAGAUGUUGAUGCGCGGCUCCAAGAAUUGAUGCUUGGUAUCGAGUCUGAAUGCGCCACGUUUCCGCCUGCAAGCAAUUGUCCUGAGACAGGAGAUGUACACCGCGUGGCACCUAGCAUGGAUAUAGUUGAUCUGUCUUCUCCAUCUCCGCCCCUCCGGGCUUGCAAGUCCCAAAAGUUCAUCGGAUCAACCACAGCUGCGAUGAAUGGGGUUGAUUUGCUGAGCGGUAUGAUGGAGUCACAAAGUAGCACCCAGUCCAGCGAUGCUCAGAACUCCGAGUCACAAAAUAGCACCCAGUCCAGCGAUGCUCAGAACUCUGAGUCACAAAAUAGCACUCAGUCAAGUGAUGCUCCGAGUUUUACCCUUGACGACGACGUGAUUGAUCUGUCCUCGCCCCUGCCUCCAGUUGCUGAACGACAACCUUGCCGCUUCCAAGACUUGCCACCUUAUGACGGAGCUGAACGAAGAGCUCUGACAGAUUUAAGCAAUUUCCCUGAGAAAAGCAGCAUGCUGGGCGUUUCAGAUGACAGACACAAAGCUGGUGCAAGCGACGCCUGCGCACCAGUCGAAGCAUCGCCGCCAGUCGUCCAUGGUGCUCGGAUGUUCAAUGGCCGAAGUAAUGUACCGAUUGUUUCGUUGGCAGAAUCAGAAGCUGGCGCCAUUGAUUUGUCUUCUCCUUCUCCGGUUGUCGACAGGAGAAGGAAUGGUAACCAUGGCAAGGAUGCAAUAGACAUUAGUGAAGCUGACAGUAGUGUCGUGUGUCCUGAUGAUGAUGAACAUGAGAGGAAGGCGAGAGAGCUCAGAUCGUUUCUCAAGAGCAUUAGAGACGAACUGUAA